AGCAGCCCCGCGAGGGUGAGCAAACCACAGAAACGGCGUCCCAGUUCGGAUUGCAGCCUGCAACUCGGCUGCAUGAAGCUGGAAUCGCUAGUAAUCGCGGAUCAGAAUGCCGCGGUGAAUACGUUCCCGGGUCUUGUACACACCGCCCGUCACACCAUGGGAGUCGGGAAUGCCCGAAGUCAGUGACCCAACCGAAAGGGGGGAGCUGCCGAAGGCAGGCCUGGUAACUGGGGUGAAGUCGUAACAAGGUACC
This 253-nucleotide ribosomal RNA is filed under the name uncultured bacterium. RNAcentral's name for it is "partial 16S ribosomal RNA". It matches the Rfam family "Bacterial small subunit ribosomal RNA", at positions 1248 to 1500 of the family's 1533-position model. The record is from RNAcentral.